ACCAAAAUGGCACCAGGGGACACUGGGAUGGCACCAGGUGGCACCAGGAUGGCACCGAGAUGGCACCAGGUGACACCAAAAUGGCUCCAGGAUGGCACCAGGUGACAUCAGGGUGGCCCAGGACGUGGCCAGGCGACACCGAAAUGGCACCAAGAUGGCACCAAGAUGGACAGGUGACACUGGGAUGGCAGCAGGUGACACCAGGACAGACUGUGGGCACACGGUGCUGUCCCCAAGGAGCCACCACAGUGACACUGAGAUGUCCCCAAGGAGCCACCACAGUGGCACGAUGCUGUCCUCAAGGGCCACCACAAGGACAACGUGUCCCCAGGGGCCACCACGGUGGCACUGAGAUGUCCCCAAGGAGCCAUCGAGGUGACAGUGGUGUCUCCAAAGGCCACCACGGUGACACUGGGAUGUCCCCAAGGAGCCGCCACCAGCACAACGUGUCCCCAAGGGCCACUGUGGUGACAGUGGUGUCCCCAAGGAUCUGGGUUGGUGGCACCGUGUCCCCAAGGGUCACCACGGUGGCACUGAGAUGUCCCCAAGGAGCCACCACAAGGACAAUCUGUCCCCAAGGGCCACCAUGGUGACAAUAAAAUGUCCCCAAGGAGCCA
Molecule: long non-coding RNA, 617 nt
Filed under: Zonotrichia albicollis (white-throated sparrow)
Lineage: Eukaryota; Metazoa; Chordata; Aves; Passeriformes; Passerellidae
Description: lncRNA (ENSZALG00000000553.1)
Source: RNAcentral